GUCAGCUCGUGUCGUGGAGAUGGUGGGUUAAGUCCCGCAACGAGCGCAACCCCUAUAUUAUGUGGCCAGCGCGUUAUGGCGGGGACUCGUAAGAGACUGCCGGGGUCAACUCGGAGGAAGGUGGGGACGACGUCAAGUCAUCAUGCCCCUUAGGUCCAGGGCUUCACACAUGCUACAAUGGCCAGUACAGAGGGCUGCGAGACCGUGAGGUGGAGCGAAUCCCUUAAAGCUGGUCUCAGUUCGGAUCGGGGUCUGCAACUCGACCCCGUGAAGUCGGAGUCGCUAGUAAUCGCAGAUCAGCAACGCUGCGGUGAAUACGUUCCCGGGCCUUGUACACACCGCCCGUCACGUCAUGAAAGUCGGUAACACCCGAAGCCGGUGGCCUAACCCC
This 391-nucleotide ribosomal RNA is filed under the name Rhodococcus sp. (in: high G+C Gram-positive bacteria). RNAcentral's name for it is "bacterial SSU rRNA". It matches the Rfam family "Bacterial small subunit ribosomal RNA", at positions 1054 to 1442 of the family's 1533-position model. Lineage: Bacteria; Bacillati; Actinomycetota; Actinomycetes; Mycobacteriales; Nocardiaceae. The record is from RNAcentral.